Molecule: ribosomal RNA, 661 nt
Filed under: uncultured bacterium
Lineage: Bacteria
Description: bacterial SSU rRNA
Rfam family: Bacterial small subunit ribosomal RNA
Source: RNAcentral
CGAGGGAUAGCAAUAUCACUGGCGGACGGGUGAGUAACACGUAGGUGAUCUGCCCCUAUCACAGACAUAACGUCGGGAAACCGGCGCUAAUAUCUGAUGAGGUCGAGAGAUCAAAGCCUUUGGGCGGAUAGGGAUGAGCCUGCGUCUGAUUAGCUAGUUGGUGAGGUAACGGCUCACCAAGGCCACGAUCAGUAGCUGGUCUGAGAGGACGAACAGCCACACUGGAACUGAGACACGGUCCAGACUCCUACGGGAGGCAGCAGUGAGGAAUAUUGGUCAAUGGGAGCAAUCCUGAACCAGCAAUGCCGCGUGUGGGAUGACGGGGCUCAGCCCUGUAAACCACUGUCGGACGGGACGAAAGGAGCCUUCAGGGCUCUGGGACGGUACCGUCAAAGGAAGGGUCGGCUAACUACGUGCCAGCAGCCGCGGUAAUACGUAGGACCCGAGCGUUGUCCGGAAUUACUGGGUAUAAAGGGUGCGCAGGCGGCCGUGUGCGUCAGAGGUGAAAUCUCCGGGCUUAACCCGGAGGGUGCCUUUGAUACGGCAUGGCUUGAGUCCGAGAGAGGGUGAUGGAAUUCCUGGUGUAGCAGUGAAAUGCGUAGAUAUCAGGAGGAACACCGGUGGCGAAGGCGGUCACCUGGCUCGGCACUACGCUAGGCAC